This is a non-coding RNA of Physcomitrium patens, 3304 nucleotides long. Lineage: Eukaryota; Viridiplantae; Streptophyta; Bryopsida; Funariales; Funariaceae. The record is from RefSeq and is a predicted model, not a curated record.
CGGUCGCCUUGGCCGCCUUUGGUCCAAAAUUGCAGAGCGUUGAGGAGCUCUGCGUGACAAGUUCAACACAAUUCGGUGCUGCCGUCGUCGCCUCAGCGUUGUCGUUGUAGAGCUGACUCGCAGCCGUUACGCUUGGCUGCACCAAGUCUUCCCCAUGCUCCGUAUGCUGUGCCAAACAAGCUAUUUGUGAGGAGUUUCUGUGUGUUCAAGGAAAACCUCGGUUGUCAUCCCUGUCGUUGCUGAGACAUGGAGAGAGCUCGCCUGUCUUACAAUGUGUGCAGCCAGGAGCACGUCAAUUUAAGCGUGAUUCGGAAUUGACCGAAAGUCUGAAGUGACGUAAGAGAGAUUGUCAGUGCUUGUGAGCGCAAUAAUGUGAGAUAAUAAAUUGGUUCAGCGUGGGUACGUUAAUGAAGGAAUAUAAUUGGAAGGAAAGCCGGAUGGUAACGACACAAUUUUCCAGAUCGUGCUAUGCACGUGAUUCCCCUGCCAGAUGGUUGAUCAGUGGCGUUACGGUGGUCGUGAGGGAAAGAAGAGUAGAAGGGAUCUCCGGACUAUUGCAUUGUUAUCGUGAACAGUCUUGUCCGUUUGAGCUUCGACUCUUCGUCGUUUUUUUGUAGACUCUCGCCGCUCUUCCUCUUGCUCAAAUGAGGGCGAAGCAUUACAUUCUGUCGUAAUAGUCGAUACUCUCCUUGAAGAUUUCGAAUAAAGCCCGUCGGACAGGCUGAAAGCAUGAUGGUUGCAAAAAGCUUGGCAGGACUAAAUAGUUUUAUUGGUCGUUUGAUUUCUGGUGGUGCUCGUGCAAUGGGUGAACAUCCUGCUCCGACCGAUUGCACCAAGAUAUUACCUAGUGGGUGUCGACAGCACAUCCAGGUUUUGGAUUGCGCGAGGCCAUUGAUCUUGCUCGCGCUCACGGUUGUGUUUCUUGCUUUGCCAACGACCUGCGGUGGCUUCUCCACCUCGACUCACCAGUGUUCAAGGAAAACAGGUUUCCGAUUGGCACAACCAUGGUUGAAUCGCAAGCGAAUCACCGAAGCAGAUGAGGGUAUGGUGGCAGCUGAUGACGAGAGGUGCUCUCAUAUUGGUCGCGAUGCGUUACGUGCUGGUGGAAACGCCGUGGAUGCCGCCGUAGCGACAUCCCUGUGCCUAGGAGUCGUCAAUCCAGUGGCAAGUGGGCUUGGUGGAGGUGCAUUCUUGCUGCUGCGACUGUGGAAUGGAACUGCGAUGGCCUAUGACAUGCGAGAAACUGCGCCCGCAGCAGCCCGCGAGGACAUGUAUACUGAAGAUCCUUCCCUGAAGGUUAAGGGAGGUUUAUCAGCAGGCGUUCCGGGUGAGUUGGCUGGUCUUCACUUAGUUUGGUCCAGCCAUGGCGUUUUACAAUGGCCGGCACUCGUGGCUCCAGCUAUUGUUCUUGCAGAAAAAGGGUUUGUUGUACAGCCUUACCUUGCACACUACAUUAAUAUGUUCAUAGAUGGUAUCCUUGCUGACCAAGGAUUACGUGAAACAUUCACCCUCAACGGAAAACCCCUAGUUGCCGGAGACAUCUGUUACCGUAAAAACCUGGCCAACACAUUGAAAGAAGUCGCAAAGCAUGGAUCAGCGGCAUUUUAUUCUGGUCCAGUUGCGGAGAAUUUCAUUAAAGAUGUACGAGCAGCUGGUUCAAUAUUGACCAUGGAGGACCUUCGGGAUUAUAAAGUGGCAAUUCGAAAACCCGUGGUUGCUGAUACCAUGGGCUUUACUGUGAUAAGCAUGCCGCCUCCUUCAUCCGGUGGAGCAUCAUUGGUUCUCAUCUUAAACAUCAUAGCCAAAUACGGGUAUACUGCAGCGUUGAAAGGGCUGGUGGGAUUGCACCGACUCAUUGAAACUUUCAAGCACACGUAUGCAGUGCGAAUGAACUUGGGCGACCCGGAUUUCGUCGAUGUGAACUCGGUAGUGGCAGAUAUGCUGAACCCAAGUUUCGCUGGAAAACUUCAGAGUCGAAUUGUUGAUAAUACCACUUUCCCGCCGGAAUACUACGGAAACAGAUGGCGUCAACUUGAAGAUCACGGAACGAGCCACUUCAGCAUAGUAGAUCCGCAUCGCAAUGCUGUCGCCAUGACCACCACUAUCAACUACCCUUUUGGUGCUCUUAUGUUGUCUCCGUCAACUGGAGUAAUACUCAACAAUGAAAUGGACGAUUUCGCAAUCCCAACUUCUCAACCCCCCGGGUAUCUGCCUCCUCCCCCGCAGAACUUUGUGAGACCGGGCAAGCGUCCUCUGUCGUCCAUGACUCCGACCAUUGUCCUCAAGGAUGGACGGUUAUAUGGGGUGUUGGGCGGAAGCGGCGGCAACAAAAUCAUAACAACUGUGGCACAGGUUUUUAUCAACCAAUUUGUGAAGAAACUGGAUCCACUAACAUCGGUUGCAACCACACGCGUGCACCAUCAGUUAGUUCCGAACGUCAUACACUAUGAGAACUGGACUCUGGUGACGGGGAAGCACGUAGAGCUUGGGGAAAUAACUCGACGGGGAUUGGAAUCCAAGGGCCACAUCCUGGAAGCUCACACUUCUGGCGCUGUAUGUCAACUCGUUGUUCAAGACUUGAAGACUCCCAUAAGGAUGUCCUUGUUCAAAAUGGGCUGGUUGAGAGGACCACGAUACUCCUCCCGUGGUAAACUGAUUGGUGUUAGUGAUGAGAGAAAAGAUGGAGCACCUGCAGGUCUUUAGACUUUUCCAACAGCGAUUGCCCGAAGAUGAACAACACAUCAAGAGUGUACAGACAUGCUCAAACUUACAAUCUUCAUCACUCAUUGGCUGCGAUGCCUGGUUACGAUUUAUUGUCAACUACGAUCAAAAUUCACAAAGCAAUGAUUCAGAAGGCUCAGUGGUGGUAAAGAACGCCCUUAUUUCCACCCAAUGUAAGGGAGGGCACCAAACCAGCAGAGCAGCAUUGAUUUCCUGUAAACCAGGUUGGAGACAUAGUGUGCUGUGAAAUUUUUGUUCAUCAUCUCCAUCACGUCUUGCAAUUCACAGUGCGUACAUACUUGAGGUAAAAAAAAAGUAUGGAAAGUCUGUGAGUCAUCUCCGUGAUUCAACAAGGGCAAUGGCAAUGUUGGUGUCCUUGUUGGUCACAGGUCUCUGUGUUAUCGCCAUAAAAAACAAGUAUUUCUGCUGCCGAAGUGUGAAAUCACUCACACAACCUAUGUAACCCAACUUCGCAUUCCAUGUCUUACCUGUUGAAAAUUUGAUAUUUAGAAUCAUCUCAAAUGGGAUGCAGGUCUUGGAUUGUUCUAAAUUUCAAGCAGGAUUUGUCUACCAUUUGAGUAUC